Molecule: ribosomal RNA, 261 nt
Filed under: uncultured archaeon
Lineage: Archaea
Description: partial 16S ribosomal RNA
Rfam family: Archaeal small subunit ribosomal RNA
Source: RNAcentral
CAGCCGUAAACUAUGCGCGUUAGGUGUACUGGUGACCACGAGUCACCGGGGUGCCGAAGGGAAACCGUGAAACGUGCCGCCUGGGAAGUACGGUCGCAAGGCUGAAACUUAAAGGAAUCGGCGGGGGAGCACCACAACGGGUGGAGCCUGCGGUUUAAUUGGACUCAACGCCGGGAAGCUCACCGGAUAAGACAGCGGAAUGAUUGCCGGGCUGAAGACCCUGCAUAACCAGCUGAGAGGAGGUGCAUGGCGUAGUCGUGU